GAUGAACGCUGGCGGCGUGCCUAAUACAUGCAAGUCGAGCGAACAGACGAGGAGCUUGCUCCUCUGACGUUAUCGGCGGACGGGUGAGUAACACGUGGAUAACCUACCUCUAAGACUGGGAUAACAUCGGGAAACCGGAGCUAAUACCGGAUAAUAUAUUGAACUGCAUGGUGCCAUAGUGAGAGAAGGUUUUGCUGUCACUUAUAGAUGGACCCGGGCCGCAUUAGCUGGUUGGUAAGGUAACGGCUUAGCAAGGCUACGACGCGUAGCCGACCUGAGAGGGUGGUCGGCCAGACUGGAACAGAGAAACGGUACAGACUCCUACGGGAGGCAGCAGUAGGGAAUCUUCCGCGAAGGGGGAAAGGCGGACGGAGCAAAGCCGCGUGAGUGAUGAAGGUCUUCGGAUGGGAAAGCGCUGUUAUUAGGGAAGAACAAAUGUGUAAGUAACUAUGCAGGUCUUGACGGUACCGAAUCAGAAAGCCACGGCUAACUACGUG
This 497-nucleotide ribosomal RNA is filed under the name uncultured bacterium. Its description in RNAcentral is "partial 16S ribosomal RNA". It matches the Rfam family "Bacterial small subunit ribosomal RNA", at positions 28 to 507 of the family's 1533-position model. The record is from RNAcentral.